Ailuropoda melanoleuca (giant panda) is the source of this 3275-nucleotide long non-coding RNA. RefSeq lists it as uncharacterized. NCBI's taxonomy places the organism in Eukaryota, Metazoa, Chordata, Mammalia, Carnivora, Ursidae. The transcript has 2 exons. The record is from RefSeq and is a predicted model, not a curated record.
UGACAGGCGUGCAGGUGGCUCCUCCCACUGCACGUGGGCGUCCACAUCCACACAUGGAUGCUGGGCCUGUGGGCACGUGGGGCAGAUGGCACUGGCAGAUAGCCCUGGAUUCGCCCAUUUAUUCAUUUCUUCCCCUCACAGAACGUUCACGGAGAUGUGCCAAGCCCUCCGUCGCGGUCCCCCAGGCUCCUACAGCCUGGGUGAUGGUCAAGAGACUAGACAUCACAGGGUGAAGUGGAUUAGGGUCCUGGGCGUGGUGCAGCCGGUGAGGUCCCGAGGGCAGCCCCUAGCCCAUUUGAACUGGCGUCGGGAGCAGGGAAUCCCAGGAAAUCCAUGCCUGGCGAGGGCUUAGGUGAGCGGGAGACCGCCGGGCGAAGGGGGCCGAGGCUCCUCAGAUCAGAGCUCAGAGGAGGAGCCGGAGAGGAGAGCUGGGGCCCUCGGCGAAGGGUCUCGAACCCAGGCCACAGAGCCCGGACUCUGUGCUCCAGGCAGUGGGGAGCCAUGCAAGGUGUUCAGCGGGGGCGCUACGGCCAAAUUCUGGAGCCUAUGAUACCGACGCGUUUGCACGAAAGCUUUGGACCUGAGGGUGUCUCGCCUUCUUUUGGGGCUGGGCCGGGGCUGUGAUCUGCACCUGGGUACCGCUUCUUGUUGCUGUAGCAGCUGCCCCUGGGAAUGUCUGAGAGGGGGAUAGGCACCCCAGUCCCCAGAGAGAAGCCCGUGUCCAGGCUAGAUAUGAAUGAAGAAACAGAAGCCGCUGUUAAGUCAGGCAUCCCUGUGUGUGCAGCAGAUAGAUGCCUUUUCUGCACUUGGUAGGCUCCGAGGUGGCGGAGACGGUGUGGCCUCUUCCAGAAUAUCACUCCCUGUGCCCACUGGGUACCCCAAAGUACCCUCCCACUGGAGAGCCAGUGCCUCUCUGAGGGGUGGGAACUAGAUUACAUGAGUUUUGACAGGUGGUGAAUACAGUGGGGGUUCUAGAACACAGAUAAAAGAGCGAUUCAGUUAAGAGGCUGGGGAGGGGGCGGACAGUGGGGAGGGAACCUGGCAGCUGAAAGGGAGGGGAGCAGCACAAAGACCCCAAGGAGGGGGUGGCAGGUGGUGCUGGAGAGAAAACGUUGGCGCUCCUCAGUUCUGCUCAGGAGCCUAGCUGAAGGCCAUGACUUUGGCAAUGGCUCGCUCUCCACCAGCCUGGCCCCCAGCCUGGCCCCCGGCCUGGCCCCCGGCCUGCGGUUUUCCUCAGUAGAGAAGCAGUGGCAGCUUCCGAGAAACCCCACCAAGACUUUCCUGUCAGGGCAACUCCAAGUUCCUCUUACUGAGGAAGGGGAAGUGGUGGAGUUUCUCCUGAGGGCUUUCAGUUUCUUUCUAAGAAGCUGGAGUGACCCAACCCGAGGGCCCUUGGCCGAGCCAGAUGUUAAAGGGAGAGACCUUUUGUCUUCAGGGGCUUUCCCACCUCAGUUCCAACCAAAGCGUCUUUGUUGGGGCCUGGUAUCAGAAGUUCCAGAAGAGGAAAGCAAGGACGUGUGUUUUGCAGGCCCUUUCCCACGGCCCCUCCUUUCUUCCUCUCCAGGGACGCAACCCCAAGCCCUGUCCUGGCUCCCCCUGACAGGCACAAAUGCGGCCUGCCUUCCCUCAGGGACACCAGGGUAGGAAACUUAUUUCCUCAACCCUCAAAGCCAACCUCAGCUCUGAGUCCUGCUUCCUCAGGGCUCUGCUGGGCAACUGAAAAAGCUAACGGACACGAAGAACUGACAGACAACUUCAGCUCAACGCUGAUUUCUGGCCCAGGGGACGUGCCCACUUUGGAGGCCCACAGCUUCGCGAGGACACACUGUGGGAGCCCAGAGAACUGAGUGCAGCCUUCUCAGGAAGACCCACUGGCUUGGGGGUGAGUGACCCCGCGACGAAGGUACAGUCAUGAUCCCUGAAAACAAGCCACCCGCCCAGCUCACAGCCCAUGAGCCCCGUCUUCCCCGUAGACCUCUUCUCAGAAAGGCGGGGAAGGAAGACUGACCCUCAGAGGAGUUGGCUGGAAAGGUCCAACCGCCCAUAUCCCGAAGAUACUCACAGCAGCGUGUGCCUCUCUGAGAGGCGAAGAACAAGCUGUUGAAUGAAAGCCACGUUCCCAGCGCUGGCCUGGCUGGGGCUGUCCCCAGGGUGGUAGGAACUCCCCGGCCCUCUUUUAUUUUCCUCUCACGGGCAUCGUUCUUUGCCAGCACGUGCGUUAUGGGGACAGUGGGGGGACUCCCCCAGACCGUGAUGCUGUUCCAUUCAAAAACAUCUGCCUGGAGGUCCGCUGCUGCGUGACUCACACGCUGUGGAGGUGGCAGGGAGACGCACAGCUGCCGGUCGGAAGGGCCUGACCCAAACGAGAGAGGAUGCUCAGAGGGUGGCCAGGUUUAGUAAAUAAAAAUACAGGAUGCCCAGAUACAUUCGAUUUUCAGAUAAACAACAACAUUUGGGAUAUCCUUCACUAAAAAAAAAAAUGUUGUUUAUAUGAAAUUCGAGUGUAACUGGGCAUCCUGUUUUGUAUCUGGCAAGCUUAGACACGCAGCACCUGGGGCAAAGCCCCUGCCUUCCCCAGGGUCCCAGCGGGGGUUUGUUGAGAGCGCGAGACAACACAGCUGGGAGAAAACCACUCGCCUGGGAUGAAAGCAAACCCCGGACUUGGUCAGAGAAGGGUGGAAACACUCUGCUUCAAGGGUUCCUCCUGAGUAAUUGCAAAAGCCCGAUCUCAACCUAGGGCAGAGUUCUGCGUUCAAAUUCCACAAAAAUGCGUGGGUGCUUCUGAAGGAGACUCUCCUUUCUCUGGCCUCCAGUUUGAUCAUCUCUGUAAUGCGGGGAGAUUUGGAUUCUAUGAUGGCUGAGGACUUCCUAGCCCUUGGUUUUUCCAGCCCAGGGGAAAUCUGCUGGAAGCAAGAGAAGGUGCAAGCUCACCAAGGAGCAAGUUUAACGAGGAGGAAGAAGCCAACUGUGCUGGGAAAAGUGUGGCCGUCUCACCCUACAGCUCCGAAAGGGGACUGGGGCAUUGCAACUGGACAUUGGGUGCUUGGGGGGGGGCUCCUCUUGGGUCAGGCACACCCGGUGCACCUCGGACCUCCUUGGAAGGGGCCCCAGGGACCAACCACAGCUGUGUCCAUCUCUGCGGUGCCCGGGACCAGCCACCUUUUCAAACAUCCAUGGAAACACUUGAGCCACAGUGGGGAUUGUUCCUACCUCCAAAAUUAGAAAAGCAUAUUAUAAAGAUGAAAUGAUUAAAUGUCUACAAAAUGUUAACCAGA